AUGCAUAGGGUUUUGUUGUUAGGAAAUCCUUUGCAGAAUGACUCAGAAAAAUUCUUUGAAGUGGAUAACUUCAUUAAUCCCGCAGUAUUAGGACCUAUCGCAUAUUUUCGAUGUUAUUUUGAGGCUCCAAUAAUUUGGAAUAGAACCUACUGCUACUGCAGAAGGGAAGAAACUCGGUUCCGAACGUACUGCAAAACUAAGUUCCGAAGUUAA
This is a non-coding RNA of Vicia faba (fava bean), 213 nucleotides long. NCBI's taxonomy places the organism in Eukaryota, Viridiplantae, Streptophyta, Magnoliopsida, Fabales, Fabaceae. The record is from the annotation of a GenBank genome assembly.